RNAcentral lists this ribosomal RNA (66 nucleotides) under Flavobacteriaceae bacterium. The record is from RNAcentral. Lineage: Bacteria; Pseudomonadati; Bacteroidota; Flavobacteriia; Flavobacteriales; Flavobacteriaceae.
UAAGGUGGUUAUUGCAAUGGGGCUCACCUCUUUCCAUCCCGAACAGAGAAGUUAAGCCCAUUAGCG